This is a long non-coding RNA of Trichosurus vulpecula (common brushtail), 527 nucleotides long. RefSeq lists it as uncharacterized. The record is from RefSeq and is a predicted model, not a curated record. Lineage: Eukaryota; Metazoa; Chordata; Mammalia; Diprotodontia; Phalangeridae. The transcript has 2 exons.
GAGGUGUAAAUACCACUGAUUACCGGGUCCGCCCGCAUCCUAGAGAGGUCCCGGAAGUGCCUGGUCAGGUGGUGCUCCGUGGAGAGGACUGUUUCCGGGUUCUACGAGUAUCUGCGUCCCAUUCUUCCGGCGCUCUGCAGUCGGCUUUCUGGGUUCCUCUGAUCGGGGAAGGACGUUGGAGGGGCCCGGAAGCCGAUCGGAAGGAUUUCUGCGGUGGCCGCGGAGCCUCUCCUGUAUUUGGAAAGGAAGACAGCUAAAAUUCCUGUACCCUCUUAUGUAUUUGUGGAUCAGGAGUGAGGACAAGCAGCAGAAGAUUUCUGAGAAACUGAAGUCACAGAGAGUGUUACCCAAAAGACCUCAAGAGAUUGUGCUAAAAUGGAGGAAAGAUGGUGAGAAUGAAAGAGUUGUGGAGAAAUCCCCUCGUUAAGAGAGUGUAUGAACUCACUUGGUAGGAGAAGGUUGCAGAAAAGAACAGACCAAAAUUUCCAAGUUAAACCCUUAAAAGUACCUUCUGUGUGCUAAAAAAA